AAAUCACCGUGCUGCACUCCAACAGCAAUCCCACUAAACUACGCUUUGGUUUUGCUCACGCCAUGUUGCAAGAAUUUGGAACGAUACUGCUCCACCAGUGACUUAUCGACGCCUCCUUCCCCGGUAGGUUCUUUCCUUGUCCUUUUUGUAGCCUUUCCUCUCUUUUGCUCUGUCUGGCCGUCUUUUCUGUUUUUCCUUUUCUUGGGAGCAACUGAUUGAUCAUGCUCGCUCGACACAGCUUGCUGCAUCAAAUGAAAUAGGUAACCAUUUAACAUCACUUUACUGCAGUAAAACUGGAGAACUUAAUAAGGUGUAUAUUCAGGAAAGAUUUUUGUUUUUUUUAAAAAAAACUUACAUUCCCAGCAGCAAUUGGGGUUGCAUCUUUUCGAUCUCGAUCUGCCAAAACGGUACCCUCAUUUGACUUCCUUGAUCUCUUUGCAGGUCUUCCCUUUCUUACACCUUCCACAGCACUUUGAUCUCCAGCAACAGGAUCCUUGGCAGGCCCUUCGCCAGAAUCGGAUGGUUUAGAUGG
Molecule: long non-coding RNA, 532 nt
Filed under: Setaria italica (foxtail millet)
Lineage: Eukaryota; Viridiplantae; Streptophyta; Magnoliopsida; Poales; Poaceae
Description: long non-coding RNA (SITA_LNC006411)
Source: RNAcentral